This 373-nucleotide ribosomal RNA is filed under the name uncultured bacterium. Its description in RNAcentral is "bacterial SSU rRNA". It matches the Rfam family "Bacterial small subunit ribosomal RNA", at positions 523 to 898 of the family's 1533-position model. The record is from RNAcentral.
AUACGGAGGGGGCAAGCGUUGCUCGGAAUUACUGGGCGUAAAGGGUCCGCAGGUGGCCUCGUAAGUUAGAUGUGAAAUCUUAGGGCUUAACCCUGAAACUGCAUCUAAUACUGUGAGGCUCGAGUCCAGGAGAGGUUGGCGGAAUUCCAGGUGUAGCGGUGAAAUGCGUAGAUAUCUGAAGGAACACCAGUGGCGAAGGCGGCCAACUGGCCUGGUACUGACACUCAGGGACGAAAGCGUGGGUAGCGAACCGGAUUAGAUACCCGGGUAGUCCACGCCCUAAACGUUGGAUGCUAGGUGUGGGGAUGAAAAUCUCUGUGCCGAAGUUAACGCAUUAAGCAUCCCGCCUGGGGAGUACGGUCGCAAGAUUGAA